GAUGAACGCUGGCGGCGUGCCUAAUACAUGCAAGUCGAGCGAACAGACGAGGAGCUUGCUCCUCUGACGUUAGCGGCGGACGGGUGAGUAACACGUGGAUAACCUACCUAUAAGACUGGGAUAACUUCGGGAAACCGGAGCUAAUACCGGAUAAUAUAUUGAACCGCAUGGUUCAAUAGUGAAAGACGGUUUUGCUGUCACUUACAGAUGGAUCCGCGCCGCAUUAGCUAGUUGGUAAGGUAACGGCUUACCAAGGCAACGAUGCGUAGCCGACCUGAGAGGGUGAGCGGCCACACUGGAACUGAGACACGGUCCAGACUCCUACGGGAGGCAGCAGUAGGGAAUCUUCCGCAAUGGGCGAAAGCCUGACGGAGCAACGCCGCGUGAGUGAUGAAGGUCUUCGGAUCGUAAAACUCUGUUAUUAGGGAAGAACAAAUGUGUAAGUAACUAUGCACGUCUUGACGGUACCUAAUCAGAAAGCCACGGCUAACUACG
Molecule: ribosomal RNA, 495 nt
Filed under: uncultured bacterium
Lineage: Bacteria
Description: partial 16S ribosomal RNA
Rfam family: Bacterial small subunit ribosomal RNA
Source: RNAcentral